AGCACUUAUAAGGGUGCUGGCAGAUGUAAGUCCGACGUGCAGACCAUGCACGGGCCCGGGUAACCCGGGCCUCCUGGGAUUAC
This is a non-coding RNA of Methanolinea tarda NOBI-1, 83 nucleotides long. The record is from Rfam. NCBI's taxonomy places the organism in Archaea, Methanobacteriati, Methanobacteriota, Methanomicrobia, Methanomicrobiales, Methanoregulaceae.